RNAcentral lists this unclassified non-coding RNA (752 nucleotides) under Hevea brasiliensis (rubber tree). The record is from RNAcentral. Lineage: Eukaryota; Viridiplantae; Streptophyta; Magnoliopsida; Malpighiales; Euphorbiaceae.
CACUUCUCUAAGCGCAUCCAUUAACCUUGCAGCUGGGUAAUUAACAUCCGGGGACAGGAACCGUAUCAUGGCUUCUGAUCCUACAAUUUUCACUUCCAAUUCCAUUGCCUUGGCUUUGUAAGCUGAAGAGGACCUGAUGUGAUCAAUCAUGGAAUCGGUGCUCUGAUUGUCGGUGACGCUUGUAAUCUUGGAUUUCUUGGAUACCGCUUGUAGUUUGGACUCCAAUUCAUCAACCUUGGCCUUGAGCUCCUUGAUGUAAGUAACAGCAUCUGCUAGCAGAGAUGCUUUGUCCAUCUUUGACACAUUAGGAACGACAGAUCGGAGUGCAUAGAAUCUAUGAUUCAGCCUCUCUCUACGCUGCCUCUCCGCUUCAACAUGGUUCAGAGUCAAUUCUUUGCCGUUCAGUUGGGUUCUUCCUCUUUUCUUGAGCCGAUCAGUAUUUCCAGCGGCGAAAUUGCCUUCAGAAUCAGAACGUGCCGAGUCAGAUGAUGAGCGGCCUUGACCUGUGGGAUCUUUCUUUUUGUCGCCUUCAUUUUGCUUCUCCGCAGAAGUGUCCUUUUGAGAAGCUGAAAACAUGCCAAUAUCAAGGAAAGAAGUAUUAGGAAUCUGAAGCUGUGACUCGUGGCUCCGCGCAGGCUGUGUCUCCCCCGAACAGCGAUUUGCAGAGUUGCACUAGGCUCCAAUCUUUAUCGAUCGUGUUCGAGGAGCCCAAUUCAACAACUGCACAAGAGGUUGAAAUACAGACCAAAGUC